This 447-nucleotide ribosomal RNA is filed under the name uncultured bacterium. RNAcentral describes it as "bacterial SSU rRNA". It matches the Rfam family "Bacterial small subunit ribosomal RNA", at positions 355 to 825 of the family's 1533-position model. The record is from RNAcentral.
UGGGGAAUAUUGGACAAUGGGCGCAAGCCUGAUCCAGCCAUGCCGCGUGAGUGACGAAGGCCUUAGGGUUGUAAAGCUCUUUUGGCGGGGAAGAUAAUGACGGUACCCGCAGAAUAAGCUCCGGCUAACUUCGUGCCAGCAGCCGCGGUAAUACGAAGGGAGCUAGCGUUGUUCGGAAUCACUGGGCGUAAAGCGCACGUAGGUGGGCAGUUAAGUCAGGGGUGAAAGCCCGAGGCUCAACCUCGGAAUUGCCUCUGAUACUGGCUGUCUAGAGUUCGAGAGAGGUGAGUGGAAUUCCUAGUGUAGAGGUGAAAUUCGUAGAUAUUAGGAAGAACACCAGUGGCGAAGGCGGCUCACUGGCCCGAUACUGACGCUGAGGUGCGAAAGCGUGGGGAGCAAACAGGAUUAGAUACCCAGGUAGUCCCUGAGCGGGCUGGCAAGGCGCAU